This 465-nucleotide ribosomal RNA is filed under the name uncultured bacterium. Its description in RNAcentral is "partial 16S ribosomal RNA". It matches the Rfam family "Bacterial small subunit ribosomal RNA", at positions 338 to 795 of the family's 1533-position model. The record is from RNAcentral.
CCUACGGGUGGCAGCAGUGGGGAAUCUUGCGCAAUGGGCGAAAGCCUGACGCAGCGACGCCGCGUGAGGGAUGAAGGUCUUCGGAUCGUACACCUCUGUCAGCAGGGAAGAACGGUCACUGUGCUAAUCAGCAGUGACUUGACGGUACCUGCAAAGGAAGCAACGGCUAACUCCGUGCAAGCAGCCGCGGUAAUACGGAGGGUGCGAGCGUUAAUCGGAAUUACUGGGCGUAAAGCGCUCGUAGGCGGUAUUUCAAGUCAAGGGUGAAAUCCCCGGGCUCAACGUGGGAAGUGCCUUGUAAACUGGCAGACUGGAGUGUGUGAGAGGAUAGUGGAAUUCCAGGUGUAGGAGUGAAAUCCGUAGAUAUCUGGAGGAACAUCAGUGGCGAAGGCGACUAUCUGGCACAUAACUGACGCUGAGGAGCGAAAGCGUGGGUAGCAAACAGGAUUAGAUACCCGGGUAGUC